RNAcentral lists this ribosomal RNA (498 nucleotides) under uncultured bacterium. RNAcentral's name for it is "partial 16S ribosomal RNA". It matches the Rfam family "Bacterial small subunit ribosomal RNA", at positions 30 to 523 of the family's 1533-position model. The record is from RNAcentral.
AUUGAACGCUGGCGGCAUGCCUUACACAUGCAAGUCGAACGGCAGCACGGGGCAACCUGGUGGCGAGUGGCGAACGGGUGAGUAAUGCAUCGGAACGUACCUUUCAGUGGGGGAUAAAGUAGCGAAAGUUACGCUAAUACCGCAUAGUCUGUGAGCAGGAAAGCAGGGGAUCGCAAGACCUUGCGCUGAUUGAGCGGCCGAUGUCAGAUUAGCUAGUUGGUGAGGUAAAGGCUCACCAAGGCGACGAUCUGUAGCGGGUCUGAGAGGAUGAUCCGCCACACUGGAACUGAGACACGGUCCAGACUCCUACGGGAGGCAGCAGUGGGGAAUUUUGGACAAUGGGGGCAACCCUGAUCCAGCCAUGCCGCGUGAGUGAAGAAGGCCUUCGGGUUGUAAAGCUCCUUCGGCCGGGAAGAAAUCGCACGGGCUAAUACCCUGCGUGGAUGACGGUACCGGAAUAAGAAGCACCGGCUAACUACGUGCCAGCCGCCGCGGUAA